Molecule: ribosomal RNA, 465 nt
Filed under: uncultured bacterium
Lineage: Bacteria
Description: partial 16S ribosomal RNA
Rfam family: Bacterial small subunit ribosomal RNA
Source: RNAcentral
GAUGAACGCUGGCGGCGUGCUUAACACAUGCAAGUCGAACGGAAAGGCUCCUGCUUGCAGAGGUACUCGAGUGGCGAACGGGUGAGUAACACGUGGGUGAUCUGCCCUGCACUUCGGGAUAAGCCUGGGAAACUGGGUCUAAUACCGGAUAGGACGAUGGUUUGGAUGCCAUUGUGGAAAGUUUUUCGGUGUGGGAUGAGCUCGCGGCCUAUCAGCUUGUUGGUGGGGUAAUGGCCUACCAAGGCGUCGACGGGUAGCCGGCCUGAGAGGGUGUACGGCCACAUUGGGACUGAGAUACGGCCCAGACUCCUACGGGAGGCAGCAGUGGGGAAUAUUGCACAAUGGGCGCAAGCCUGAUGCAGCGACGCCGCGUGGGGGAUGACGGCCUUCGGGUUGUAAACUCCUUUCGCUAGGGACGAAGCGCAAGUGACGGUACCUGGAGAAGAAGCACCGGCUAACUACGUG